UUGACCUCGGAUCAGGUAGGAAUACCCGCCUGAAACUUAA
This 40-nucleotide ribosomal RNA is filed under the name Colletotrichum boninense. Its description in RNAcentral is "partial 28S ribosomal RNA". Lineage: Eukaryota; Fungi; Ascomycota; Sordariomycetes; Glomerellales; Glomerellaceae. The record is from RNAcentral.